UCGUGUAGUGCGGUCAUGUGGUGCGGAGCCAGCGUGCGCUCGCCUCCCAUCAUCAUCGUCGCCCUCUGAAUGGUCUUCAGUCCACAGUCCAGCCAAAUAAAAUCCCAAAUAAACCGAACCGAAAUCCAAACCAAACCAACAGCCACAACAACAACAACAACAAACGGAACUCUAAGGAUUCCACGACAUUUUUUUGUUCUUGUUCCUAAUUUCCAAUUUGCAACAUUAAGCCAAAAAGGAAAUACAACACAAAAAUAAUACAAAUAUAAUAAUCAGCAGAAAAGUGCUCAAAAGUGCCAAAGAAAAAAAGAAUAUAAGAAUAAAAACCGGAACCCCAAUCAGCUAAGCUGAAGAAAGUUUUUUAAAAAAAAAAAAAAAAUGUGCCUCCUUGAAAAAAAAAAUGAAAAAGAGGAUUAAAUAUUCAAUGUGCAAAGGUUAAUUUCCAAAGAAUUUUUUUUGAUAAUUUUUCUUCUUGUGCGGUUUGAACACGAGUGCAAAUAGAACAAGCAACAACAACAAAACCAAAUAAAAAAAAAUACCAAAAACAACAACAGCAACGGCGAGACAGCAACAACAACAACUAAGCUACAACUACAACAACCCACAACAAGGAUGAAGAACGGCUGCAAAUGCAACAACAUCAGCAGCAGCAACAUCAGCAACAGCAACAACGGCGACUGCGAGCGGAAACGACAGCGGCAGCUACAGAUACUUGUAACUAAAGUGACAUGAGGCCUUAACAACAAUAACACCAAAGCAACAGCAACAGCAACAACAACUAUAAGAACAAAGGAUACAACAACAAAAACA
Drosophila takahashii is the source of this 810-nucleotide non-coding RNA. The record is from RefSeq and is a predicted model, not a curated record. NCBI's taxonomy places the organism in Eukaryota, Metazoa, Arthropoda, Insecta, Diptera, Drosophilidae.